UGGGCUUGACAUGCACGGGAAAGCCGGUGGAUGAUGUGGAUUAAUUCGAUGCAACGCGAAUAACCUUACCUACCCUUGACAUGUACGGAAGCCCAGCGAGAGCUGGGUGUGCCCGAAAGGGAGCCGUAACACAGGUGCUGCAUGGCUGUCGUCAGCUCGUGUCGUGAGAUGUUGGGUUAAGUCCCGCAACGAGCGCAACCCUUGUCCCUAGUUGCUACGCAAGGGCACUCUAGGGAGACUGCCGGUGACAAACCGGAGGAAGGUGGGGAUGACGUUCCAAGGUUGGUU
RNAcentral lists this unclassified non-coding RNA (288 nucleotides) under uncultured Gammaproteobacteria bacterium. Its description in RNAcentral is "contains 16S-23S intergenic spacer region". It matches the Rfam family "Bacterial small subunit ribosomal RNA", at positions 930 to 1195 of the family's 1533-position model. The record is from RNAcentral. Lineage: Bacteria; Pseudomonadati; Pseudomonadota; Gammaproteobacteria.